UUCGGGUUGUAAAGUACUUUCAGCAGUGAGGAAGGUGGAUAUGUUAAUAGCAUAUUCAUUUGACGUUAGCUGCAGAAGAAGCACCGGCUAACUCCGUGCCAGCAGCCGCGGUAAUACGGAGGGUGCGAGCGUUAAUCGGAAUUACUGGGCGUAAAGCGCAUGCAGGUGGUUUGUUAAGUCAGAUGUGAAAGCCCGGGGCUCAACCUCGGAAUUGCAUUUGAAACUGGCAAACUAGAGUACUGUAGAGGGGGUAGAAUUUCAGGUGUAGCGGUGAAAUGCGUAGAGAUCUGAAGGAAUACCGGUGGCGAAGGCGGCCCCCUGGACAGAUACUGACACUCAGAUGCGAAAGCGUGGGGAGCAAACAGGAUUAGAUACCCUGGUAG
RNAcentral lists this ribosomal RNA (383 nucleotides) under uncultured bacterium. RNAcentral describes it as "bacterial SSU rRNA". It matches the Rfam family "Bacterial small subunit ribosomal RNA", at positions 417 to 793 of the family's 1533-position model. The record is from RNAcentral.